GGGGAAUUUUCCGCAAUGGGCGCAAGCCUGACGGAGCAAUACCGCGUGAGGGAGGAAGGCUCUUGGGUCGUAAACCUCUUUUCUCAGGGAAGAACAAAAUGACGGUACCUGAGGAAUCAGCAUCGGCUAACUCCGUGCCAGCAGCCGCGGUAAUACGGAGGAUGCAAGCGUUAUCCGGAAUGAUUGGGCGUAAAGCGUCCGUAGGUGGUUCUGUAAGUCUGUGGUUAAAGCGUGGGGCUCAACCCCAUAAGGGCCAUGGAAACUACAAGACUUGAGUGAAGUAGGGGUAGAGGGAAUUCCCAGUGUAGCGGUGAAAUGCGUAGAGAUUGGGAAGAACACCGGUGGCGAAAGCGCUCUGCUGGACUUAAACUGACACUGAGGGACGAAAGCUAGGGGAGCGAAAGGGAUUAGAUACCCCUGUAGUCCUAGCCGUAAACGAUGGAUACUAGGUGUUGCCCGUAUCGACCCGGGCAGUGCCGUAGCUAACGCGUUAAGUAUCC
RNAcentral lists this ribosomal RNA (500 nucleotides) under uncultured cyanobacterium. Its description in RNAcentral is "bacterial SSU rRNA". It matches the Rfam family "Bacterial small subunit ribosomal RNA", at positions 356 to 869 of the family's 1533-position model. The record is from RNAcentral. Lineage: Bacteria; Bacillati; Cyanobacteriota.